GACGGGCUCGUUCAAUGGUUAGGACGUCGCACUUUUGAAGGCGAUCACGUCGGUUCGAUUCCGUCACCCGUCUCCA
RNAcentral lists this transfer RNA (76 nucleotides) under Bradyrhizobium barranii. RNAcentral describes it as "tRNA-Gln". It matches the Rfam family "tRNA". Rfam says of the family: Transfer RNA (tRNA) molecules are approximately 80 nucleotides in length. Their secondary structure includes four short double-helical elements and three loops (D, anti-codon, and T loops). Further hydrogen bonds mediate the characteristic L-shaped molecular structure. tRNAs have two regions of fundamental functional importance: the anti-codon, which is responsible for specific mRNA codon recognition, and the 3' end, to which the tRNAs corresponding amino acid is attached (by aminoacyl-tRNA synthetases). tRNAs cope with the degeneracy of the genetic code in two manners: having more than one tRNA (with a specific anti-codon) for a particular amino acid; and 'wobble' base-pairing, i.e. permitting non-standard base-pairing at the 3rd anti-codon position. Lineage: Bacteria; Pseudomonadati; Pseudomonadota; Alphaproteobacteria; Hyphomicrobiales; Nitrobacteraceae. The record is from RNAcentral.